UGGGGAAUAUUGGACAAUGGGCGAAAGCCUGAUCCAGCCAUGCCGCGUGUGUGAAGAAGGCCUUUUGGUUGUAAAGCACUUUAAGCGAGGAGGAGGCUACUUAGAUUAAUACUCUAGGAUAGUGGACGUUACCCGCAGAAUAAGCACCGGCUAACUCUGUGCCAGCAGCCGCGGUAAUACAGAGGGUGCGAGCGUUAAUCGGAUUUACUGGGCGUAAAGCGUGCGUAGGCGGCUUUUUAAGUCGGAUGUGAAAUCCCUGAGCUUAACUUAGGAAUUGCAUUCGAUACUGGGAAGCUAGAGUAUGGGAGAGGAUGGUAGAAUUCCAGGUGUAGCGGUGAAAUGCGUAGAGAUCUGGAGGAAUACCGAUGGCGAAGGCAGCCAUCUGGCCUAAUACUGACGCUGAGGUACGAAAGCAUGGGGAGCAAACAGG
This 430-nucleotide ribosomal RNA is filed under the name Bacillota bacterium. Its description in RNAcentral is "Firmicutes bacterium partial 16S ribosomal RNA". It matches the Rfam family "Bacterial small subunit ribosomal RNA", at positions 355 to 776 of the family's 1533-position model. The record is from RNAcentral. Lineage: Bacteria; Bacillati; Bacillota.